UCAUACACAUAGUUGGAUUUUUAGAACACAGCAAUAAUCUUUUUAUGCAAUCAAAAUUACUUAAAGUUCAUGACCUUGUAAAAUAUUAUACAUUACAGAUUCUAUUCAAGGUAUUUAAUAAGUCACUGCCAAGUAACAUCCAAAA
This is a long non-coding RNA of Thalassophryne amazonica, 145 nucleotides long. RefSeq lists it as uncharacterized. NCBI's taxonomy places the organism in Eukaryota, Metazoa, Chordata, Actinopteri, Batrachoidiformes, Batrachoididae. The record is from RefSeq and is a predicted model, not a curated record. The transcript has 4 exons.